CGGCACGGGUGAGUAACGCGUGGAUAAUCUACCCUUAAGAUGGGGAUAACGGCUGGAAACGGUCGCUAAUACCGAAUACGCUCCCGAUUUUAUCGUUGGGGGAAAGAUGGCCUCUGCUUGCAAGCUAUCGCUUAAGGAUGAGUCCGCGUCCCAUUAGCUAGUUGGCGGGGUAACGGCCCACCAAGGCAACGAUGGGUAGCCGGUCUGAGAGGAUGACCGGCCACACUGGAACUGGAACACGGUCCAG
Molecule: ribosomal RNA, 247 nt
Filed under: uncultured bacterium
Lineage: Bacteria
Description: partial 16S ribosomal RNA
Rfam family: Bacterial small subunit ribosomal RNA
Source: RNAcentral